This is a long non-coding RNA of Magnolia sinica, 598 nucleotides long. RefSeq lists it as uncharacterized. The record is from RefSeq and is a predicted model, not a curated record. NCBI's taxonomy places the organism in Eukaryota, Viridiplantae, Streptophyta, Magnoliopsida, Magnoliales, Magnoliaceae. The transcript is spliced from 3 exons.
UUUUUUUUUCUUUUUUUUUUUUUCUAGAAUUCUAUCGAUCUGAAGGUAGGGGAGAACAUAUAUGGAAUGAUUUCCCCAUGUUCGUCAAAGUCAUAUUCAGGAUUGUAAUCUCUACAAAUGCAGUGGGUAAAGUGAUGGGGAAAGGUGGAGCAAACUUGGCAUAUAUUUGGAAGUAAUGGCCCACCAUGAAAUGAUCCCCUGCAAUGUCCGUACCAUGAAAUUAUAACACGCUAGUGGGUAACCCCAAGAAGGAGAGGGGCCAAGAGAUAUCAAGAGGCAGGGUUCAUAAUAACAGAGAAAGAAAGUAGAGGGGGAGACAGAACUUUUAAAGCAACGCACGGAGAGAACUGAUAAGUGCGGACGGCAUUCGUCGAGACCGAGAAAGUUACGAUUGACUGCACAUGCUAAGGACCUGUUUAGACUGAAUUACAAAUGUAAUGUGGUGUAGAUGUACAAUGCCAAUACCUGUCUCCUGAAAAAUAAGUUAUUUGAGGGGCAUUUUUUGUAUUUACAUAGGCACGGUAAAAACCAUAAUAUGAUAUUUUUACAUUAUUAAAAUGUCAAAUUAAUAAAGAAAAUACACUUACUAAAAUAUUAA